UAUUGAAACACCAGCCUUAUCCUUAGAUGAGUUGAAUAAAUUGACUGGUAAUUUUGGAUCAAAGACACUAGUUGGUGAAGGGUCUUAUGGUCGAGUUUUUCGUGCAACCUUAAGUUCUGGUCAGGUUGCAGCUAUUAAAAAAAUAGAUAAUAGCUCUUCACAAGAACCUGAUUCUGACUUCGCAGCUCAGUUAUCAAUUGUCUCAAGACUGAAGCAUGAACAUUUCGUUGAGUUACUUGGAUAUUGUUUGGAUGCAAAUAACCGAAUCUUGGCUUAUCAAUUUGCAACUAUGGGUUCUUUACAUGAUGUUUUACACGG
Molecule: long non-coding RNA, 318 nt
Organism: Papaver somniferum (opium poppy)
Lineage: Eukaryota; Viridiplantae; Streptophyta; Magnoliopsida; Ranunculales; Papaveraceae
Exons: 2
Source: RefSeq, a predicted model, not a curated record